CUGGUGAUUCUGAUUAAGCCGUUUUAGAGCGGAGCCCCUGAAUCUCCUUGACUCCAUCCUACCCGGAAGAGCAGAUAUCCCGUAAGUGCCAAGUUUCUUCCGCUGUCUGCAGCUGACCGUGAUGUCUUCUAGCUGGCAGCCCACCCUCUCCCACAGACCCCCAGCCAAAUCCCCAAGGUGCACCUGAGGGACUCUGCCUGCAGGUGUGGCCCAGAAGCGUGCAGGACACAUCACCACGCCCCAGAUCUGAAGGAUGGGCGCUCACAGCUCUGGACUUGCCGGCCUUGGUGAUUAGCAGCGAGGAUGCUGAUACCAGAUUUAUAAAGUCAGCGUUUGCUGAGUGGUCUAUUGUGAUGGGCUCAAAAUAGCCUUCCGCCUCUGUGCCGGGCCUCAGUGUCACCCGAGUUCCAGGAUGGCAGAAGCCAAGGACUCUGCCAUACCAUCUUUUUUGGCUUCCAGUUUCUCUGCUGCCAAGAAACGUGAAUUGGAGAUUGUAAAAUGAAGAUGUGCUGAUGUGCCACUCCCAACAAUGACAGUGGACCUGCCGUCUUGCUCCCAGCUCCCCGUCUAUACUUCCAUCUUCUCUGUUGGAAGUGUAUUUCAGAAUCUGUGCACAGCUCCUUUAAGAAUGAGAAGAAGACAGCAGAGGAGCAAGUGUGGCCAAAGGGCUGUUAGCUGGACCAUCUCCUUCUGCGGCAUCUGGUCUGAGCUCCCCUCCGCCUGUGGGACCCACCUGUCACUCUCUGAGGAUUCUCUGAAGUCAGAUCCACCUUUAGGUUCUGCCCUUUUCCCUGAGCUCGUCCUUGGUCUUUGCUCUGUUGACUUGCGCCUCUUUGACCGCAGACACGUGCAGGCCUCUGCCCUGGCCCAUCUCUCCUGCAGUCCUGAUCUGGACAACUGUUGGCUCCACUCUGUCCCCUGCUUCUGUCUGAGCCAGUGCUUGUUAACAGGUCUUUCGUGUGGCUCCUUCUUUCAUAUUUUAUGGCACUCCUUUCCUGAACUUGGCACCAAGUCCCUCUGGAACUGUCCUGGGAGAUAAUACAAUGUCACUGCUAAGGGCAACAACCGAUUGUCCCUCUUCUUCAAUGAUCUACCAGUGUCCGCGAGCUGAACUCUCUCUCCGCUGGGGGAAGUCAAUGGAGGUCACUGCCCGAGAGAUUGAGGGUCAGUCUUUGUCUGCCUUCUUGACAGCUCCAAAAGUCUCAUGUUUCUGAUGAGAUCUGCUGAAGCUUUAUGGAGAGAAAAACCCAAGUGGUUCAAGCCGGCGUGCCUGGAUUCCCCUGGAAACAGCAGGAAUGCCCUUUCUGGGGGCUGUUAUUUGUUAAAAUCGGUUACAGUGCAUUCCAGGAGAGACGUUCCAAAAAAUGCAGGAGCAAUGACAGCCUUGCCGGAAUAGGAGCGAGAACAUGGAACGUGGAGUCAGUCAACCCAAGUUUCAAUGGGCAGAGGCAGCUCCUCACUUUCCAAAUGAACAACCUUGUGCAAGUCAUCAAAACUCCCC
RNAcentral lists this long non-coding RNA (1501 nucleotides) under Equus caballus (horse). Its description in RNAcentral is "lncRNA (ENSECAG00000058147.1)". The record is from RNAcentral. Lineage: Eukaryota; Metazoa; Chordata; Mammalia; Perissodactyla; Equidae.